UUUCCGUAGGUGAACCUGCGGAAGGAUCAUUACUGAGUUAGGGAGGUUAUGGCCCGACCUCCAACCCUUUGUUUAAAUCACCAUGUUGCUUUGGCAUGCCCGCCUAGAAAUGGGCCGCCGGAGACUUUUCGGAGGCCGGUCAGUGGCUGCCAGAAGCCUUUCUAAAUUCAUUUAUAACCGUGUCCGAAUAUACAUAGAAAAAAAAAAAUAAAACUUUCAACAACGGAUCUCUUGGUUCUC
Molecule: unclassified non-coding RNA, 240 nt
Filed under: plant metagenome
Description: partial contains small subunit ribosomal RNA, internal transcribed spacer 1, and 5.8S ribosomal RNA
Source: RNAcentral